Molecule: ribosomal RNA, 253 nt
Filed under: uncultured bacterium
Lineage: Bacteria
Description: partial 16S ribosomal RNA
Rfam family: Bacterial small subunit ribosomal RNA
Source: RNAcentral
UACGGGGGGGGCAAGCGUUGUUCGGAAUUACUGGGCGUAAAGGGCUCGUAGGUGGCCAACUAAGUCAGACGUGAAAUCCCUCGGCUUAACCGGGGAACUGCGUCUGAUACUGGAUGGCUUGAGUUUGGGAGAGGGAUGCGGAAUUCCGGGUGUAGCGGUGGAAUGCGUAGAGAUCCGGAAGAACACCGGAGGCGAAGGCGGCUUGCUGGGCUCGGUCUGACGCUGAGGCGCGAAAGCGUGGGGAGCAAACAGG